RNAcentral lists this ribosomal RNA (274 nucleotides) under uncultured bacterium. Its description in RNAcentral is "partial 16S ribosomal RNA". It matches the Rfam family "Bacterial small subunit ribosomal RNA", at positions 523 to 796 of the family's 1533-position model. The record is from RNAcentral.
AUACGUAUGGGGCAAGCGUUAUCCGGAUUCAUUGGGCUUAAAGCGCGUGUAGGCGGCUUGUUAAGUCAGAUGUGAAAACCGGGGGCUUAACCCGCGGCGUGCAUCUGAAACUGGCAGGCUUGAGUCUGGUAGAGGAAAGUGGAAUUCCUAGUGUAGCGGUGAAAUGCGCAGAUAUUAGGAGGAACACCAGUGGCGAAGGCGGCUUUCUGGGCCACGACUGACGCUGAGACGCGAAAGCUAGGGGAGCAAACAGGAUUAGAAACCCCGGUAGUCC